RNAcentral lists this ribosomal RNA (956 nucleotides) under uncultured bacterium. Its description in RNAcentral is "bacterial SSU rRNA". It matches the Rfam family "Bacterial small subunit ribosomal RNA", at positions 9 to 873 of the family's 1533-position model. The record is from RNAcentral.
AGAGUUUGAUCAUGGCUCAGGAUUAACGCUGGCGGUAUGCCUAACACAUGCAAGUCGAACGGAAUACUCGAAAAGAGAAUCUCACACUAGUGAGAGGUUCUCCAACCGAGUAUUUAGUGGCGGACGGGUGAGUAACACGUUGGAACCUGCCCCGAAGUGGGGAAUAACUGCUCGAAAGAGUAGCUAAUACCCCAUAGUAUCCGGUUUAUCCGGAUUAAAGAUUUAUCGCUUCGGGAGGGGCCUGCGUCUGAUUAGCUUGUUGGUGGGGUAAAAGCUCACCAAGGCGACGAUCAGUAGCUGGUUCGAGAGGAUGACCAGCCACACUGGGACUGAGAUACGGCCCACACUCCUACGGGAGGCAGCAGUGAGGAAUCUUCCACAAUGGACGAAAGUCUGAUGGAGCAAUACCGCGUGCAGGACGACUCUUUUCGGAGUGUAAACUGCUUUUGUCGUCAAAGAUUAUGACUGUAGACGAAGAAUAAGGACCGGCUAACUACGUGCCAGCAGCCGCGGUAAUACGUAGGGUCCAAGCGUUAUCCGGAAUUACUGGGCGUAAAGCGUACGCAGAUGGCGUGAUAGGGUAAGUUGUGAAAUCUUGUGGCUCAACCAUAUAGACUAUGACUUAAACCAUCACACUAGAGGUUGGUAGAGGCAAGCGUAUUUUCCGGUUGUAGCAGUGACAUGCGUAAAUAUCGGAAGGAACACCAAUUGGCGAUGCAGCUUGCUGCGCCACACCUGACGUUGAGGUACGAAAGCGUGGAGGAGCGAACGGGAUUAGAUACCCCGGUAGUCACGCAGUAACGAUGAUAACUAGUGGGGAUAUGGAAAUUCCACCCCUCGUGUGUCACGAAGCUAACGCGAUAGUAUGCGGCUGGGGGAGUACGAACGCUAGUCAACUAGAUGACGGAUCUGGCACGCUGAGAAGUAUUAAAUGAGCACGCUUAAAGCGCGUUUAC